UACGUAGGGGCGAGCGUUAUCCGGAAUUACUGGGCGUAAAGGGUGCGUAGGCGGCCUUUUAAGUCAGAUGUGAAAGGAUACGGCUCAACCGUAUUUAGCAUUUGAAACUAGAAGGCUUGAGUGCAGGAGAGGAGAGUGGAAUUCCUAGUGUAGCGGUGAAAUGCGUAGAUAUUAGGAGGAACACCAGUGGCGAAGGCGACUCUCUGGACUGCAACUGACGCUGAGGCACGAAAGCGUGGGGAGCGAACAGGAUUAGAUACCCUGGUA
This 267-nucleotide ribosomal RNA is filed under the name uncultured prokaryote. Its description in RNAcentral is "partial 16S ribosomal RNA". It matches the Rfam family "Bacterial small subunit ribosomal RNA", at positions 524 to 792 of the family's 1533-position model. The record is from RNAcentral.